GGGGGCGAAUGGAGUUGACAGAGCGAUAGCAGCAUGAGUUGCGCGCCGAGGCGCCGCUGGCCUCGUAAAAAGCGGCAAAGCCUAUAAACGGCACAAACAGCUACGCACUGGCCGCCUAAUAGGGCAGCCCGUCUGCCCGAUCCCCUCCGGCGGGGUCGGUUCCAGGCGUAACAAAUGCCGGAUUACCUGACGGACCUCGCUCGGGGAGCCUGAAGGGACACUAAAUCGAGCUGGCGCAGAGGUAUCCCGCCCGAGGGAGACCGAAGCGCGAGAACCAAAUCUCGGGAUACGCUCGUAGAUGCUCAUGUGCGCUGUUCUCUGGACCGGGGUUCGAGUCCCCGCGCCUCCACCA
This 352-nucleotide transfer-messenger RNA is filed under the name Armatimonadota. RNAcentral describes it as "JAGONM01 sp017993055 Standard tmRNA". It matches the Rfam family "transfer-messenger RNA". From Rfam's summary of the family: Bacterial tmRNA, also known as 10Sa RNA or SsrA, is named for its dual tRNA and mRNA-like properties. The record is from RNAcentral. RNAcentral also lists the same sequence under 1 other name. Lineage: Bacteria; Bacillati.